GUUGCCGUAGCUUAAAGCCCAAAGCACAGCACUGAAGCUGCUGAGAUGGAAAUCAUUACUCCCGAAAACA
This 70-nucleotide transfer RNA is filed under the name Tropiocolotes tripolitanus. Its description in RNAcentral is "tRNA-Phe". It matches the Rfam family "tRNA". Rfam says of the family: Transfer RNA (tRNA) molecules are approximately 80 nucleotides in length. Their secondary structure includes four short double-helical elements and three loops (D, anti-codon, and T loops). The record is from RNAcentral. Lineage: Eukaryota; Metazoa; Chordata; Lepidosauria; Squamata; Gekkonidae.